Molecule: ribosomal RNA, 453 nt
Filed under: uncultured Paraprevotella sp.
Lineage: Bacteria; Pseudomonadati; Bacteroidota; Bacteroidia; Bacteroidales; Prevotellaceae
Description: partial 16S ribosomal RNA
Rfam family: Bacterial small subunit ribosomal RNA
Source: RNAcentral
ACGGGAGGCAGCAGUGAGGAAUAUUGGACAAUGGAGGCAACUCUGAUCCAGCCAUGCCGCGUGAAGGACUAAGGCCCUAUGGGUCGUAAACUUCUUUUGACGCAGGGCAAUAAGGCGUACGUGUACGCCGAUGAGAGUAUGCGUCGAAUAAGCAUCGGCUAAUUCCGUGCCAGCAGCCGCGGUAAUACGGAAGAUGCGAGCGUUAUCCGGAUUUAUUGGGUUUAAAGGGAGCGUAGGCGGCCUUUUAAGUCAGCGGUCAAAUGUCAGCGCCCAACGCUGGCCUGCCGUUGAUACUGAUGGGCUUGAAUACACACAAGGAAGGUGGAAUUCGUCGUGUAGCGGUGAAAUGCUUAGAUAUGACGAAGAACUCCGAUUGCGAAGGCAGCCUUCUGGAGUGCGAUUGACGCUGAGGCUCGAAAGCGCGGGUAUCAAACAGGAUUAGAUACCCUGGUA